RNAcentral lists this ribosomal RNA (429 nucleotides) under Bacillota bacterium. Its description in RNAcentral is "Firmicutes bacterium partial 16S ribosomal RNA". It matches the Rfam family "Bacterial small subunit ribosomal RNA", at positions 355 to 776 of the family's 1533-position model. Lineage: Bacteria; Bacillati; Bacillota. The record is from RNAcentral.
UAGGGAAUCUUCGGCAAUGGACGGAAGUCUGACCGAGCAACGCCGCGUGAGUGAAGAAGGGUUUCGGAUCGUAAAGCUCUGUUGUUAGAGAAGAACGUUGGUAGGAGUGGAAAAUCUACCAAGUGACGGUAACUAACCAGAAAGGGACGGCUAACUACGUGCCAGCAGCCGCGGUAAUACGUAGGUCCCGAGCGUUGUCCGGAUUUAUUGGGCGUAAAGCGAGCGCAGGCGGUUCUUUAAGUCUGAAGUUAAAGGCAGUGGCUAAACCAUUGUACGCUUUGGAAACUGGAGGACUUGAGUGCAGAAGGGGAGAGUGGAAUUCCAUGUGUAGCGGUGAAAUGCGUAGAUAUAUGGGGGAACACCGGUGGCGAAAACGGCUCUCUGGUCUAUAACUGACGCUGAGGCUCGAAAGCGUGGGGAGCAAACAGG